RNAcentral lists this ribosomal RNA (497 nucleotides) under uncultured bacterium. RNAcentral's name for it is "partial 16S ribosomal RNA". It matches the Rfam family "Bacterial small subunit ribosomal RNA", at positions 28 to 507 of the family's 1533-position model. The record is from RNAcentral.
GAUGAACGCUGGCGGCGUGCCUAAUACAUGCAAGUCGAGCGAACAGACGAGGCGCUUGCUCCUCUGACGUUAGCGGCGGACGGGUGAGUAACACGUGGAUAACCUACCUAUAAGACUGGGAUAACUUCGGGAAACCCGCGCUAAUACCGGAUAAUCUAUUGAACCGCAUGGUUCAAUAGUGAAAGACGGUUUUGCUGUCACUUAUAGAUGGAUCCGCGCCGCAUUAGCUAGUUGGUAAGGUAACGGCUUACCAAGGCAACGAUGCGUAGCCGACCUGAGAGGGUGAUCGGCCACACUGGAACUGAGACACGGUCCAGACUCCUACGGGAGGCAGCAGUAGGGAAUCUUCCGCAAUGGGCGAAAGCCUGACGGAGCAACGCCGCGUGAGUGAUGAAGGUCUUCGGAUCGUAAAACUCUGUUAUUAGGGAAGAACAAAUGUGUAAGUAACUAUGCACGUCUUGACGGUACCUAAUCAGAAAGCCACGGCUAACUACGUG